UACGGAGGGUGCGAGCGUUAUCCGGAAUUACUGGGUUUAAAGGGUGCGUAGGCGGCUAUGUAAGUCAGGAGUGAAAGUUUGCGGCUCAACCGUAAAAUUGCUUUUGAUACUGCAUGGCUGGGAUUAGGAUGAGGUCAGCGGAAUGUGGCAUGUAGCGGUGAAAUGCAUAGAUAUGCCAUAGAACACCAAUUGCGAAGGCAGCUGGCUAGACCUGGAUUGACGCUGAGGCACGAAAGCGUGGGGAGCGAACAGG
Molecule: ribosomal RNA, 253 nt
Filed under: uncultured bacterium
Lineage: Bacteria
Description: partial 16S ribosomal RNA
Rfam family: Bacterial small subunit ribosomal RNA
Source: RNAcentral